Papaver somniferum (opium poppy) is the source of this 908-nucleotide long non-coding RNA. RefSeq lists it as uncharacterized. The record is from RefSeq and is a predicted model, not a curated record. NCBI's taxonomy places the organism in Eukaryota, Viridiplantae, Streptophyta, Magnoliopsida, Ranunculales, Papaveraceae. The transcript is spliced from 6 exons.
CGACAGUAAAUGCUGCUAAUGACUCUUGGGUUUUGAGGUGAUAUGGGUUCUGGUGAUGAUGGUGUGGUGGUGCUGAUGAGAAAAAAGAGUAAUCUGUUUUAAUUGAAAGAUCUGAGUUUGGCCUCGUACUUUAAGGAAAUUGAGGUGUGGAAACAAAAGACAAUAUUGAACAGAAGACCAACAGAACUGCACAUUAAGUAGAGAAAAAGCCUGAAAGUACAGAAAAAAAAAGGUCAUCCUUGGAUUUCAGAACUACAAUGAUAUAACAGUACCUACUGAUAUUCUAAUAUUCAGGCUCAUGAAAUCCUGUAUGCGCUCAUCAUAUCUAUAUAAAGUUACAUUAAGAGUGAGUACUUUAAUAUUCUCGAAAUUUGCUUUAUUAUUGAUCAUGUCUCAUAAUUUGGUUUGUCCACUACCCUUGAUUUUUUGGCAUUGUCCAAGAAAUUGACUGUAGAUGAACUCUUUUAUCUGAAGGAGUAGUUUGCACUGUUAGAACAUAACUUUGGGGAAUAUCUGGAUGGUAAGUUGAAGAAAGAAAGAACAGAUAGAGCGCUUAUUUGGUUUAUGAUUACCGGGUCUCCUUUGAAAGAUAACACCAAUCGUUAUUGUCCAUCUGGAUUGUAAAUAUGCAUAUGUUAACUAACAUCUUGUGCUUCUGUAAUUUGAAUCAGGUGUGGAUGAAACAGGACAUGAUGUUGCACCAUAGAUGUUACUAAGUAUCUUGCCUGCACCUUCAAGUAUGCAAUUUUGACCAAGAUGGAUGUUCUGAUCUUGAGCAUAGGAGGCCCUAGUUAAUUAGAUCCUCCUCCAGUUGAGAAGGAAGUAAUGGAUACUCUUAUUUGUAUGAGAGACUUUGACAGGCAGGAAUUAUAGUAAGUACAUAGAUUACUCAUUUUGAAUACAAUGCA